UAGGGAAUCUUCGGCAAUGGGGGGAACCCUGACCGAGCAACGCCGCGUGAGUGAAGAAGGUUUUCGGAUCGUAAAGCUCUGUUGUUAAGGAAGAACGAGUGUGAGAAUGGAAAGUUCAUGCUGUGACGGUACUUAACCAGAAAGGGACGGCUAACUACGUGCCAGCAGCCGCGGUAAUACGUAGGUCCCGAGCGUUGUCCGGAUUUAUUUGGCGUAAAGCGAGCGCAGGCGGUCAAUUAAGUCUGAUGUGAAAGCCCCCGGCUCAACCGGGGAGGGUCAUUGGAAACUGGUUGACUUGAGUGCAGAAGAGGAGAGUGGAAUUCCAUGUGUAGCGGUGAAAUGCGUAGAUAUAUGGAGGAACACCAGUGGCGAAAGCGGCUCUCUGGUCUGUAACUGACGCGGAGGCUCGAAAGCGUGGGGAGCGAACAGG
Molecule: ribosomal RNA, 430 nt
Filed under: Bacteroidota bacterium
Lineage: Bacteria; Pseudomonadati; Bacteroidota
Description: Bacteroidetes bacterium partial 16S ribosomal RNA
Rfam family: Bacterial small subunit ribosomal RNA
Source: RNAcentral